This 36-nucleotide ribosomal RNA is filed under the name Chenopodium giganteum. The record is from RNAcentral. Lineage: Eukaryota; Viridiplantae; Streptophyta; Magnoliopsida; Caryophyllales; Amaranthaceae.
GGUGACCUCCUGGGAAGUCCUCGUGUUGCACCCCUA